GAUCAUGGCUCAGGAUGAACGCUGGCGGCAUGCCUAAUACAUGCAAGUCGAACGGACCGAAGGGAAAGCUUGCUUUUCCUGAAGUCAGUGGCGAACGGGUGAGUAACACGUAGGUAACCUGCCCAUGUGCCCGGGACAACGCCUGGAAACGGGUGCUAAAACCGGAUAGGUAGAGAGAUCGCAUGAACUUUCUAUUAAAGGGGCUACGGCCCUGAACAUGGAUGGACCUGCGGUGCAUUAGCUAGUUGG
This 249-nucleotide ribosomal RNA is filed under the name uncultured bacterium. RNAcentral's name for it is "partial 16S ribosomal RNA". It matches the Rfam family "Bacterial small subunit ribosomal RNA", at positions 15 to 252 of the family's 1533-position model. The record is from RNAcentral.